This 523-nucleotide ribosomal RNA is filed under the name uncultured bacterium. RNAcentral's name for it is "partial 16S ribosomal RNA". It matches the Rfam family "Bacterial small subunit ribosomal RNA", at positions 355 to 868 of the family's 1533-position model. The record is from RNAcentral.
UGGGGAAUAUUGCACAAUGGGCGCAAGCCUGAUGCAGCCAUGCCGCGUGUGUGAAGAAGGCCUUCGGGUUGUAAAGCACUUUCAGCGAGGAGGAAGGUGGUGAACUUAAUACGUUCAUCAAUUGACGUUACUCGCAGAAGAAGCACCGGCUAACUCCGUGCCAGCAGCCGCGGUAAUACGGAGGGUGCAAGCGUUAAUCGGAAUUACUGGGCGUAAAGCGCACGCAGGCGGUUUGUUAAGUCAGAUGUGAAAUCCCCGGGCUCAACCUGGGAACUGCAUUUGAAACUGGCAAGCUAGAGUCUCGUAGAGGGGGGUAGAAUUCCAGGUGUAGCGGUGAAAUGCGUAGAGAUCUGGAGGAAUACCGGUGGCGAAGGCGGCCCCCUGGACGAAGACUGACGCUCAGGUGCGAAAGCGUGGGGAGCAAACAGAUUAGAUACCCUGGUAGUCCACGCUGUAAACGAUGUCGAUUUUGGAGGUUGUGCCCCUUGAGGCGUGGCUUCCGGAGCUAACGCGUUAAAGUCGA